AAAGGAAUAGACGGGGGCCCGCACAAGCGGUGGAGCAUGUGGUUUAAUUCGAUGCAACGCGAAGAACCUUACCGGGAUUUGACAUCUACCUGUUACCCUUUGAAAAAAGGGGUUCUCUUCGGAGACAGGAAGACAGGUGGUGCAUGGUUGUCGUCAGCUCGUGUCGUGAGAUGUUGGGUUAAGUCCCGUAACGAGCGCAACCCCUAUUUUUAGUUGCUAACACUUCGGGUGAGCACUCUAAAGAGACUGCCAAUGACAAAUUGGAGGAAGGUGGGGAUGACGUCAAAUCCUCAUGCCCUUUAUGUCCCGGGCUACACACGUGCUACAAUGGCCUAUACAGAGGGAAGCGACCUGGCGACAGGCAGCGGAUCCCUUAAAAUAGGUCUCAGUUCGGAUUGCAGGCUGCAAUUCGCCUGUAUGAAGCAGGAAUCGCUAGUAAUCGCAGGUCAGAACACUGCGGUGAAUACGUUCCCGGGCCUUGUACACACCGCCCGU
Molecule: ribosomal RNA, 495 nt
Filed under: uncultured bacterium
Lineage: Bacteria
Description: bacterial SSU rRNA
Rfam family: Bacterial small subunit ribosomal RNA
Source: RNAcentral